Molecule: ribosomal RNA, 388 nt
Filed under: Bradyrhizobium elkanii
Lineage: Bacteria; Pseudomonadati; Pseudomonadota; Alphaproteobacteria; Hyphomicrobiales; Nitrobacteraceae
Description: bacterial SSU rRNA
Rfam family: Bacterial small subunit ribosomal RNA
Source: RNAcentral
AUAUGUCAGCGGCAGACGGGUGAGUAACGCGUGGGAACGUACCUUUUGGUUCGGAACAACACAGGGAAACUUGUGCUAAUACCGGAUAAGCCCUUACGGGGAAAGAUUUAUCGCCGAAAGAUCGGCCCGCGUCUGAUUAGCUAGUUGGUGAGGUAAUGGCUCACCAAGGCGACGAUCAGUAGCUGGUCUGAGAGGAUGAUCAGCCACAUUGGGACUGAGACACGGCCCAAACUCCUACGGGAGGCAGCAGUGGGGAAUAUUGGACAAUGGGCGCAAGCCUGAUCCAGCCAUGCCGCGUGAGUGAUGAAGGCCCUAGGGUUGUAAAGCUCUUUUGUGCGGGAAGAUAAUGACGGUACCGCAAGAAUAAGCCCCGGCUAACUUCGUGCCA